RNAcentral lists this ribosomal RNA (428 nucleotides) under Apiomerus nr. peruvianus 00001539. RNAcentral's name for it is "partial 16S ribosomal RNA". It matches the Rfam family "Bacterial large subunit ribosomal RNA", at positions 1847 to 2535 of the family's 2925-position model. Lineage: Eukaryota; Metazoa; Arthropoda; Insecta; Hemiptera; Reduviidae. The record is from RNAcentral.
AAGGUCUAACCUGCCCAAUGAUUUAUAUUUAAUGGCCGCGGUAUUUUAACUGUGCUAAGGUAGCAUAAUCAUUUGUCUUUUAAUUGAAGGCUGGUAUGAAUGGUUGGACGAGACAUAAACUUUCUUUAAUUUAAUUUAUGAAUUUAAUUUUUUAGUUAAAAAGCUAAAAUUUUUUUGUUGGACGAGAAGACCCUAUAGAUCUUAAUAUAUAAAUUAAUUCAAUAAUUUGGUUAAUUAAUUAUUUAAAUUAAAAUAAAUAUUUGGUUGGGGUGACUAUAGAAUUUAAAUAACUUCUAUUUUUAAUUUUCAUUUAUUUAUGUUUGAUUGAUCCAUUAAUAAUGAUUAUAAGUUUAAGUUACCUUAGGGAUAACAGCGUAAUUCUUUUGGAGAGUUCUUAUCGAUAAAAGAGUUUGCGACCUCGAUGUUGG